GUAGAUGUCACUCAGUGAUAGAGCACUUGUCUAGCAUGCGAGAAGCUCUGGGUUCAAACUCCAGCAUCUCCG
RNAcentral lists this transfer RNA (72 nucleotides) under Ictidomys tridecemlineatus (thirteen-lined ground squirrel). RNAcentral's name for it is "Spermophilus tridecemlineatus (thirteen-lined ground squirrel) tRNA". It matches the Rfam family "tRNA". From Rfam's summary of the family: Transfer RNA (tRNA) molecules are approximately 80 nucleotides in length. Their secondary structure includes four short double-helical elements and three loops (D, anti-codon, and T loops). Lineage: Eukaryota; Metazoa; Chordata; Mammalia; Rodentia; Sciuridae. The record is from Rfam by way of RNAcentral.